GAUGCACCCAGUGGGGGAGCCAGGAAGUAUUGAUGUUUCUGCCAGUUUAACGUCAACACUUGCUGGUUUCCUCUCUGGAGCAUC
Molecule: microRNA precursor, 84 nt
Filed under: Saimiri boliviensis boliviensis (Bolivian squirrel monkey)
Lineage: Eukaryota; Metazoa; Chordata; Mammalia; Primates; Cebidae
Description: microRNA 505 (ENSSBOG00000000724.1)
Rfam family: mir-505 microRNA precursor family
Source: RNAcentral